Molecule: ribosomal RNA, 664 nt
Filed under: Inocybe pseudoasterospora
Lineage: Eukaryota; Fungi; Basidiomycota; Agaricomycetes; Agaricales; Inocybaceae
Description: 16S ribosomal RNA
Rfam family: Bacterial small subunit ribosomal RNA
Source: RNAcentral
UAGCCUAACUGAAAUCACAAAAUCACAAAUAGUGCUUAUUGUGAUAACGUAAGGGAAAAAAUGGAUAUUACCUUACUAUAAGUGUGUCUAAAUAACUGGUGCCAGAAGACUCGGUAACACCAGAAACGCGAACGUUAAUCGUCUUAAACAGGCGUAAAGGGUAAGUAGGCUGCUUUAAAGUCUAAAUUUAAAAAAGCUAAAUAGUAAAAAUUCCGCAAGUCACCUAAGGGUCUAUGCUUCUACUAUAAAAAGUUUUCAUACCUUAAUAAAAAAAGGCUAACAUACAAAUAAAAUAAGGAAAUAUUAGGAGGACUAAUAAAGGAAAUAACUAUUAAAAAUUUAAAAAUAGAUACACUUAAAGCUAGAAUCAAAAUGAGAUAAACCAAAUAAUACUUAAGUGUAAGGGCGAUAUCUGAAAUACUAAGUAGAAUACUAACGGUGAAAACUUUUUAUCUGGAAAUGAUUGACGCUGAGGUACGAAAGUGAGACAGGGAAUAGGAUUAGAUACCCAGUUACCUCUCACCGUCAACGAUGAAUGGAAGUUGUUAGUUUAAUUAAAUUAGUGACGAUGUUAACGCAGAUAACCAUUCCGCACUUGAGAGUACGGUUGCAAAACUGAAACCAAAAAAAUUAGUCGGUCUCGGAGCAAACGGAGAGUAAGCAU